RNAcentral lists this transfer RNA (82 nucleotides) under Varroa jacobsoni. Its description in RNAcentral is "tRNA-Ser". It matches the Rfam family "tRNA". From Rfam's summary of the family: Transfer RNA (tRNA) molecules are approximately 80 nucleotides in length. RNAcentral also lists the same sequence under 1 other name. The record is from RNAcentral. Lineage: Eukaryota; Metazoa; Arthropoda; Arachnida; Mesostigmata; Varroidae.
GCAGACGUGGCCGAGCGGUUAAGGCGACAGACUAGAAAUCUGUUGGGGUUUCCCCGCACAGGUUCGAAUCCUGUCGACUGCG